UACGGGGGGGGCAAGCGUUGUUCGGAAUUACUGGGCGUAAAGGGCUCGUAGGCGGCCAACUAAGUCAGACGUGAAAUCCCUCGGCUUAACCGGGGAACUGCGUCUGAUACUGGAUGGCUUGAGUGUGGGAGAGGGAUGCGGAAUUCCAGGUGUAGCGGUGAAAUGCGUAGAUAUCUGGAGGAACACCGGUGGCGAAGGCGGCAUCCUGGACCAUAACUGACGCUGAGGAGCGAAAGCAUGGGGAGCGAACAGG
This 253-nucleotide ribosomal RNA is filed under the name uncultured bacterium. RNAcentral describes it as "partial 16S ribosomal RNA". It matches the Rfam family "Bacterial small subunit ribosomal RNA", at positions 524 to 776 of the family's 1533-position model. The record is from RNAcentral.